This 387-nucleotide long non-coding RNA is filed under the name Homo sapiens (human). RNAcentral's name for it is "non-protein coding lnc-MBNL3-1:1". Lineage: Eukaryota; Metazoa; Chordata; Mammalia; Primates; Hominidae. The record is from RNAcentral.
CCUGCAGCAGAAUCACCUGGCGAGGAGGUGCCUGUUGAAAAAGAUAAGAAGUUUCAUUCAGAAAAGAUGACCCUGAAAUCCUGGAGCUUUUGCCCAAAAGGCUCUGAAACAUGCAUCUUGCCUAUGGAGCCCGCAUCCUAGCCUGCCUUACUUGGGCUGCCUUGAUACCAUCCCCCAUCAGUGUGACAAUGAUGAUUCUGGGCACGUACAAGCCUCUUUCCCAGGAAGCUGGAGCACCAAAUGACAGCUGUGUUUGAGGGAUGGCUCCGUUGACAACUGAUUCAGAAUAUUGACAAGACUUCAUUAUGUUUUUGCUCUUGUGUUUACAUCUUUCAAGUGUGUUUGAAAAAUCAAGAAAACAAUACAAUUUGGUUUCCCAAAUUGAAA